This 195-nucleotide small nucleolar RNA is filed under the name Nannospalax galili (Upper Galilee mountains blind mole rat). Its description in RNAcentral is "Small nucleolar RNA SNORA73 family (ENSNGAG00000003360.1)". The record is from RNAcentral. Lineage: Eukaryota; Metazoa; Chordata; Mammalia; Rodentia; Spalacidae.
CCAGCUGGGCUGCCACAGGCAGUCCUUUUCCCAGCUUCUGUCCUGGUUGUUAGGGGAUCACAGGGCUCUGCAUGAACUUGCAGUCCUUGCCACACAUUGAAGGUUAAGCUGGGCCUUGUGUUUGUAUCUGCACAUCCCAAAGCUUUCAGAAUCCUCAAACAGUGAUUGAGACGAUACACCAUGCAGGAAACAGUC